Molecule: ribosomal RNA, 503 nt
Filed under: uncultured bacterium
Lineage: Bacteria
Description: partial 16S ribosomal RNA
Rfam family: Bacterial small subunit ribosomal RNA
Source: RNAcentral
GAUGAACGCUAGCGAUAGGCCUAACACAUGCAAGUCGAGGGGUAGCAUAGAGUAGCAAUACUUUGAUGGCGACCGGCGCACGGGUGAGUAACACGUAUGCAACCUACCUACAUCAGGGGAAUAACCCGGAGAAAUUCGGACUAAUACCGCAUAAUACAGGGAUGCCGCAUGGCAAUAUUUGUUAAAGAUUUAUCGGAUGUAGAUGGGCAUGCGUUCCAUUAGCUAGUUGGUAAGGUAACGGCUUACCAAGGCAACGAUGGAUAGGGGAACUGAGAGGUUUGUCCCCCACACUGGACCUGAGACACGGACCAGACUCCUACGGGAGGCAGCAGUGAGGAAUAUUGGUCAAGGGACGAGAGUCUGAACCAGCCAAAUCGCGUGAAGGAAUACUGCCCUACGGGUUGUAAACUUCUUUUGUACAGGAAUAAAAGACAUUACGUGUAAUGUAUUGCAUGUACUGUACGAAUAAGCAUCGGCUAACUCCGUGCCAGCAGCCGCCGUAA